CUUAGUUGUUCAUUUUGAUUCUUUUAUAACUCUUAUUAUAUGUUGAUCAUCUUUAAAGGUUAUCUAUGAUUAGCUUAUGAUUGUUCUUUUGUUAAUAGCUAUGCCUAAAUAAGCUUUUUUUAUAUCCUCUUUUUGAAUGACUGUUAUGUUGAAUAUAUGGGAUUAGCUAUGCCUAAGCAAAAUUUGAAUGACAUUGGAUUGGUUCAACAAGCACCCGGUUUUGGGAAGAACUUUGAAAUCACGUACCACUGCUGUUUGUCAUUGCAAUUUGUCCAAAUAUUACUGAUGUCUCAUUAAAAGCUGUGGGAUUUCACUCCAAAUCGCUUGCAACUCUAUCAUUAGCAUCAAUUUCUUUUACUUCUCAAUUGUAACUAUUUUGAUUGCAUGGUAUAUAAUUUUUCCCUCUUUGAUUUUUAUAUCUAAUAGUAUAUGAGAUGGGAGAAGGGGAAACUUGUCCAUGCAUAUUCUUCUCAGAAUCUUGAAGAAAUUCUUGUAAAUUAUUUGUAUUACUUUCAUCCUAUGUCUAUUAUUUAUAGAAAUUAUUUUCAAAAUAAACACAAUCCCAUUAUUUCACGAGUUCCAUUUUAUGCGACUACAGUAAUUUUGAUAUUCUAAAUGUUUUGACAUACCCAAUAUUGUGAUCAGAACUGAGGCAAGGAGAUAUUAUUUUCAAAUCUAUGUACCAUGAUUAAUUUCACCAAUAUUCUGGGUAAUCCACUUUCUCAUUUCAAACUCUACAUUAUAUUUUUUAGAGCUCAUGCGAAAGAAUAAGAGGAUGCUUGAUGAAUCCAUCCAAGAUAUCAAGCGGGAAAUACAGGGUUUACAAGCUCAAAAAAAGAAACAAAUUGUUGAGAUUAAAAAAAAUGGCAAGGGCAUAUGGUAAGAUGUUCUCUGUAGAUAAUAUUCUUGCAGCUUCUUACACAGUAUGACUCUCUUUCCUCCUAUAGGUCCCAUCUGCUUUAUUGCCCAAGUUGGUCCCAUGAAGAUAUUUUAGAAUAAUUUUAUGAUGAAAUUGCUUUUAAAGGUAGAUUCAUUAAUGAUGAUUUGGUGAAUUUCAUCUUCAGUGUAUGAACCAACCAGAAGAAGUAAGUAACUCGUCCAAAUUGAAAGCUUAAAUAACAGAAGUGAAAGGGAUAAUGAUGCACAAUAUUGAGAUGGUACAACAGAAGGCAUCGAAAGCUCAAGCCUAAGAGGCUGCUACAAGAGUCGUGAAAGAGACCUUCCCGCAAGCCUCUUGGUUCGCAACCUUCAACGUGAUUACAGGCCCACUAUUGUUCUUGUAAUUGUUCAACUUUCUACGAGCUGUUUUCUUGUUAUUGAAAUUAGUUUAAAAGCAUUGAUAUCUCCUUCAUAAUUUUUUUGACUUCACUGCCAUGCCUUGGAGAUAUAUCUUCCGCAUUAUAAAUACUCUUUGUUGCAUAAAGCAUUAUUUCCUAUUUUUUUGCAUUUAGUUACUGGUAUUUUAGGUGUAUUGAUUAUGUAUGAGUAUAUGAAGCUAAUCUGUCCACAAAUAUUUUGCAUGCCAUACUGGUUGGAUGUACAAAGUUAUUUCAUUAGACGUGCUUAUUUUGAUUCCGUGUAUAUCCAAUCCCAUGUUCAUAUUAAUGUGUGGUUUUAUAUGUAUCAACUUCUGUGACUAAAAUAUCAAAUAUGUACCUUAGUUCAUGUGCACAAGAAAAUUUCCAGCCCAAGAAGAAUCUCACACCGGCAUAAUGACAUUUAGGAAUAUAUUAUUUAGGGUGAAUUAAGCCAUGAAUUUCAUUUACAAAGCAUAUGUCCAAAUACUAAGAAUUAGUAAUUGCCUAAGAUUUAAGUGAGAAUUUACUGAACUUUCUGAAUAAUUUCAUAAAUAUUCGACACGCUAGCAUUACCUUCAAAAUAAUACAACUUGUGCAUUGCACGGGGCAUAAGACUAGUAUAUAUAUAAGAGGCACUUUGGGUUUCACCAUUCAUUUUUGUAACCUUCCAUUUCACACCUGAAGAGUUCAUCUACUAUUUACUAACUGGUUUUUUACUGUUCAUUAAAUAAUCCCGAGAGAAUGCUACUUUACUGUUCAUCUAUGAGUUUUGCUUCACAUUUCACUGUUCAUUUGAUAAUUCGUGUAUAGACAAAAAAGGGCAACAAUUGUUGACUGAGGAAGUGGGAUAUGACUGUUGGGUAGCUUCUCAAAUACGUUUUCUCGUUCUUUUUCUCACUGUACUGUACAUAUGGGCAAAUAUCUUGCUUGCCUCAGCUGUUCAUUCAGAAGACUUCGUUUUAGACCUCUCCGAUUCUUACUGUUCAUUAACAAGUUUUGUACUGUUUACUAAAUAUCUCUUUUGUUAGUUCAAUGGUCCACUUGUCUCGCACGUUUAAGCCUUUUACAGUCUCUCCCUUCCCUAUUCUUUUCCUUUUUGCUCUCGUGUUGAGGAAAAUUAUUGUUUAAAGCUCACGGUGAUGAAGAAAUCUAACUCAAAAGUGAUAGUGAAAGCCAAUCUGAUGAACUAGAUGAAGCAGCAGCAGAAAAUGCUGAGUUGAAAGAUGAAAAAUUCUACCAGAGUGCUGUUUAAGUGCUUCGAAAAUCAAGAAAUGUAAAGGUGAUAUUUUCUUUCUGCUGUUAUGUUGGGAACUUAAAUUUUGAGUUAUUGCUAAAAAUUAUCAUUGGAUUCCCUAUUCCCUUUGAAAAUUGUGGACCUUAGAGUUGUGAACUUAAUUCAGCCUGUUUAAGGAAAAAGACAUUUGGACUGAAGCAACUACGAUGAGAGAUAGAUGCAGCCAGUGUUCCCGGGUAUUAGAGGACGAAGGUGUUGGUAAUUCCGACUUCGAACUUUGACCUGUGAAUGGCAGAGGCUGACUGGGGAGGGAUUUUGUAUGGAAGGCGAGGUGUUCUUAGUGUUUCCAGCGAACGAGCAAGUAACUAGCAGGGAUUACAAACUGAAGCAAAGAAAGAAAUGAAGUCGAGGAUUCUAAGCUCAAAGUUGAACUGUUUUUUGCCCAUUCUUUUUCUUUCUUUCUUUUUUAUUUUUAUUUUUUGGUAGGGAAUGAUCUGAUUGUUUUUGUUAUUUAAGUUGGGUUUUUAUGGUGAUCUAAUUCAAACUGAAUCUUCAUAUUGGAAUGUAUGGGGAUGAACGAUGUCCUAAUUUAGUUGGUAAUUUACUGUCUUAUUGGAUAAAUUGGUUUCAUUUGUUCAUAUUUUGUCUCCUUGUUAUAUUUAAAGUUAAAAAAUGCAAGAUCACUGUAUUCUUUUGAAUGUUUAGGAGGUCUAAUUUUGGGAAAAAGCUACUUCCAAUAAUUAGAUGGAAAUCCAACAAAAGAGUCAAUAUUAUUUUACAUUUAUGUGGAAUUAGAUAUGUUUAAAAAAUAUGGCCUUUACUAUAAUUCCUUAGAAUCCCUGUAUUAGAAGCUUCCCAAACCUUUUAAAAUUGAUGUUUACCUCCUGGACAGAGUCUAAGGUCCAGUUGUUUGUCAUGCUAUUAUAUCUUUUAUAACAUUAAACGAAGAUUAUGCUUCAAACAUGGUUGUGUUUAAAGAUUUGGUGAUGAAGACUAAUGGAUUCAUAAUAGCAGUUAGGAACAGUAGUCAAUGAUGGCUAACAUGAGUAUGUUAUUAAUUAAGUUUAAGCUCAUUACAUACUGUGGAGUUUUUAUUGCAUAUUCAUUGCAUAAUCAUAACGUUGGCCACUAUAUUUACUCCAUAAUAAGAGUUGAAAGAAUGUUUUCAUAGGGAAACAAAUCUUUCAACCCUUAAAUACACACACACACACACAUACUUGGACAUUUAAAUGUAGACUUAAGUUCUUGGCAUCCCAUAAUCAAAUUAUUUCCUAUCAAGUGCACUGCCGUUUAAAUCAUUGUUCAUGAUCUGACUUUAUUUUGCUUCAUUAUUUGCAGAUAUGUGUUAUAACAGGUACAUCAACUGGUUUAGAUCAGACAGUGCCAUGGAUGUUCUAUCAUAAAGUUAUUGGGGUAUCAAUCUUUUUCCUUUUUGUUGAAGGGAAGGCUGCAUCUCUUGCUAUCUCCAAAGUCCUUGAAUAUAUUCCUAUGAGUUUUUUUCCUGCAUGUACUCUUCAUCUAUUCUUUUGAUCAAGUAACUACUCUUUUUAAGGCUGAUAUAAUCACUUUGCAUUUGCAACACAAUCUACUUAAAUAUUAUGUCAUAAAAUACUUUCUUUACCUUAAAAGGAAAAGAAAAAUACACCUGCAAACUAUGUUGGUCUUCAAGGGAAUUGUAGAGAGGUGCAAAAUAGAAAGAUGUUUAGAUUGAUUUUUGGUCAACUAUAUAAACUAUGUCGUGAAAAAAAAUAUUUCACGUGUUGUUUCCUUGUGCAAUCAUUUACACUUAACGUCUAUCACUUAGUUUAAAUAAUAACAAAUGCCUCCUUGCAAGUGGAAAAUUGCAUUGCUAUCCCAUGAUCUUUUAUUGCAGCUAGAUCCCUGCGCCAUGUUAUUCUAUUUGCUGGUAUUAACUCAUUGAAAGUAUUUUAUGCACUAGAAAUAUUUCUUGAAACUUGACAAUAGGUUUUGAGUUAUGUGCACCUCGAAUGUAAAUGUAUUUAAUUAUAUAGGAGAUAGUUCUGCCUUUCUUUUUUUUUCUUUUUUUUUUCUGAAGUCUAUGUUAAUGCAUUGUUGUAAAAUGAGUUUGUGCAUUUUUUUUAUUUUUUAUUUUUGUGACAAUAUUGUUAAUUAUUAUCUAGAUAAAUCCAAAGAAGGAAUAUUCAUUUGUUACUGAAAGAGUGCCUAUUUAGAGAUAAAAUACAAAUUGUGCAACAGCAAGUGAACCGAAAUUGUUACUUUUAAUAUUAUGUGAUACAUAAAUACAGAAUGCUCUCUCUUCACCUGAAGAAGUUUGAGUCUUAAUUAUCCUCCAUGAGUAACAAGCUAAAUUUUUCCACUCUUUUCACUUGUUAGAUUCUUAACACCGGUGUUAUGGACUGUGCUACAAUAGUUUGUCUUACUAAAUUGUUUAUGAUUUAAUGAUGUAGGUAUUCCUUAUAAUACUAAUCAUAAGAAUUGUUCUCCAAUUUAAACAUGCUACCAAUUGUUAUAUUAUAUUCUCUGAUCUACUAAGAGCUAUUUGCGAAUUUUUUACCUAUUUUUUGUUCACAAGUUAUAUAAACUCUUUCUAUCAUUGUCCUCUUUCCUGUUGAUUCUUCUGUUGAAUUGAUUUACUUCCUUGACUGUUGUUACGGAACCUUUUCAUAUGCCUUUGUAAGACCAAUUCCACGGUCAAUACUUAUUUGGUAAUUUUUCCAGGUUUUAGAAUUGCAAGCAACAAUGAUGGAGAUUAUGGAAGUUGCUGAUUUAUAAAAGCAGAAACAUAAUAAAACUCAAAUGAAAGCACUUGUGAGAUUGUCAAAACUUGAGGUCGUCAUGUGAUUUCUUUAAUUUAGAUUUAAGCUUUAGCUCUUUAGUUGACAUCUUAUUAGGUUUAGUUUUGAUCAUAUAAUUCUUCUUGUUUUUUGUCUUAUUAUUAUUAUGGAUAACAAUAUGUUUUCUCUUUGCUUUCUGUAUUUUGAAGACUCUGAAUGCUAACCUUGCCAGGUUUCUUGAUGCUGCAUACCAUUUCUCUCCCCUACCUCUAUUUGGUUUCUUUUCUUUCUUUUUACUUUUUCAACCAUAGCUAAAUGAUCCAUGAAUACCUUGAGAACACUCUAGACUAAAGGAGGACUUGGAGAUCUAUUUAAUUAUGUUUAUUUCUUCAUGUUUGUUUUAAGUUUUUGCUCAAUAGCUAAGUAUCAAUAAGCGAGUAAUUUAUCAGCAUAUUGGGAAGUUAGUGUUACUUGUUCAAUAUGGUUUCAAAAUCGACCUUGAGAAAUGAUUGAAUUGAAAUUGUACAAUGGUUCUAUAUGGUAGCAUGAUAGCAAAUUGAUAUACUAAUGAUUUUGUGCAUGGUGGACUAGGCUGAUCAUAUCGCUAAACUUUGUCAAAAGAUUCAGUUCAAAGUAGGAACUGAUAGAAGCGUGCUUUUCGUAUCUUAAUUGGGAAGUAACUUUAGUUUCUAUGCCUCUCUUUUUAGUUCCUGUCUUAUGUGUGCUUAUCUAUCCGUGCCAGAAUGACUUGUUUGAAUGUGCCCUGGUAACCCAGAGGCUUGUCACUCCAAAGAACUUGUAGUAUGGUACAUCAAAUUUUAUUUUUUGGGCAGAGACCAUUUAAUUCUCUUUUUCCAAUUUUCCUGCACUUCAUAUUGACUGCUCAUAGCUAUUGUGCUUUUAUUUUUGUUUCGAACGAUCCAACAUUUUCAUUUUAUUUUAACAUCCUUGAAGUUUAGCGUUGAACUUAAUGUCAGUAUAUAAUGGAUAUUAUAUUUUAUUAUUCAAUACUCAAUAUGCAUAUGCGGAGUACUCUGGUUAAUUAUGAGAUAAAUAAGUACGCAAUGGCACCAUUUUUAGCAUUCAGCUUGUAUUGUUGUUCUAUAAAAUUAUCACUAAUGGGGAAACCCUGAAAGAUUGUUGAGCGUUUCAUCUAUGUUUUGACAUAUUUAACUUUGUGAAGCAAAUAGACAAUUUUUAUUGACAAAUAGAGCUUAGUUACUAAGAUAUAUUGUUUCCUCUUGUAGAAUUGAGAAUGAAAAUAUCAGCUACGCGUCAAAAAUGGGACAACGUAAGCAUCUUUUGCUUCUUCAUUUAGUCAGAAUAUUCCUUAUAUCUUCUCAACUAAUUUUCCAUGCAAAUGGCUUGUAGCUGGUGGCUUCAAAACGUGUCGAAUUUGAAAGGAAGAUGCUUAAGGCAAAGUAUUACUGUAACUAAUAAAGUGGAACAAGUAAAGGUGACAUACUUCCUUUUCUAUUGAACAUUAUUUGUAUAUUUGACGUUGUCCUGGAAGUAUACGAAUCUUUGUAGAACUAUCAUAUAUCUUGUUCAGUGUAUUACAAAUUUUAAUAUAGAAUGUGCUUCUUAAUCUG
RNAcentral lists this long non-coding RNA (6880 nucleotides) under Olea europaea subsp. europaea. The record is from RNAcentral. Lineage: Eukaryota; Viridiplantae; Streptophyta; Magnoliopsida; Lamiales; Oleaceae.